UGAAAGACGCGCAUUUGUUAUCAUCAUCCCUGUUUUCAGAGAUGAAUAUUUUGGCCACAGCAAUGUGGCCUUUUUC
This 76-nucleotide small RNA is filed under the name Enterobacter sp. kpr-6. Its description in RNAcentral is "SraD RNA". It matches the Rfam family "MicA sRNA". The record is from RNAcentral. Lineage: Bacteria; Pseudomonadati; Pseudomonadota; Gammaproteobacteria; Enterobacterales; Enterobacteriaceae.